This 467-nucleotide ribosomal RNA is filed under the name uncultured bacterium. RNAcentral's name for it is "partial 16S ribosomal RNA". It matches the Rfam family "Bacterial small subunit ribosomal RNA", at positions 28 to 506 of the family's 1533-position model. The record is from RNAcentral.
GACGAACGCUGGCGGCGUGCUUAACACAUGCAAGUCGAACGGAAAGGCCCUGCUUUUGUGGGGUGCUCGAGUGGCGAACGGGUGAGUAACACGUGAGUAACCUGCCCUUGACUUUGGGAUAACUUCAGGAAACUGGGGCUAAUACCGGAUAGGAGCUCCUGCUGCAUGGUGGGGGUUGGAAAGUUUCGGCGGUUGGGGAUGGACUCGCGGCUUAUCAGCUUGUUGGUGGGGUAGUGGCUUACCAAGGCUUUGACGGGUAGCCGGCCUGGGAGGGUGACCGGCCCCAUUGGGACUGGGAUACGGCCCAGACGCCUACGGGAGGCAGCAGUGGGGAAUAUUGCACAAUGCGCGGAAGCCUGAUGCAGCAACGCCGCGUGCGGGAUGACGGCCUUCGGGUUGUAAACCGCUUUCGCCUGUGACGAAGCGUGAGUGACGGUAAUGGGUAAAGAAGCACCGGCUAACUACGU